Sceloporus undulatus (fence lizard) is the source of this 1241-nucleotide long non-coding RNA. RefSeq lists it as uncharacterized. The record is from RefSeq and is a predicted model, not a curated record. Lineage: Eukaryota; Metazoa; Chordata; Lepidosauria; Squamata; Phrynosomatidae. The transcript has 2 exons.
AUCUCUACUGUACAGUGUGGGUUUGUGUCAGUGGUGGAUGUGAUAUAGCUAUUGUUAGUGUGUUCUUUUCUAAUCAGCAACUCUAAGAAAUAAAGUGCCCCUUCGGAGAUAAACCAGACUUCAGUUUGCUUUCAUCUACAGCUGGAUUCCUAGCAAGCUCCAAGGCUGCCAGUUGUUUCAUCCUAAUGCAGGCUUCCGGAGAUACUUUGCGUGCUGAAUUCUGCUACAACAAAAGUACAGUAUUUGCAGCAGAACUGGAUGAAGAAAUUCCAAACUUCAAAGAGACUUCUCACUGAUACCUUUGUCCAUCUGCCUACCUGCAUCAAAGAAGAACAGAAAUAAGAAUUCAGUUCAAGAUAAAUAGAUUUUAUUAAAAUAAUCAAACAUUUCAGUGAGGUAAAAUGUGAAUGUGAAAUGCAUUUCCUUACAGUUGCAGAAGUUGACAAUACACAUUAAGUUUAAUCUACUUUUUUUGUGUCAGAGCCAGUAUGGCAUAGUGGUUUGAGCACUGGACUACAACUCUGGAGAUAGGGUUCAAUUCCAAGCUCAGCCAUGGAAACUCACUGGAUGACCUUAGGUGAGUCACUCACUCUCAGCUACAGAAAACCCUGUGAUUUACCUUAAGGUAACCAUAAAUAGGACAUGACGUGAAGGAAUGCAACAACAACAACUUAUUUGUAUAUGCCAGGAGAGUGGUAGCUGGUGACCUUCAUGUCAGAUGAAUCUGCUCCAGGUUUUGGAGUAUUAAAGGAGGUAUCCAAGAUGAUAAACUGGUAUGAAUGAUAUAGUUUAGCACUGUUGAUAAUCCCUUUCAGUCUGAGCUAAAUCCUGGAAUCACCACUCCCAUGACAUGGGAAAGGAAAAAUGAAAGGAACAAAAGGAAAGGUAUGAAAGAAUGGAUAUACAGUAGGAGGAAAGAAGUCAAGAAAGGGAUAAGUGAUAAAGAGGUAGAGAUAUGAAGAGAGAGGUAGUUAGUUAAAUGAGGGGGGGUUGGAAGUGGAAUUAAAUUCGUAAGGGGGCUAGAGGUAGGCAAAGAGAGUAUAAAUAGGUUUAGAAGGUUAGAGGGGGAAUGAAGAAGGAGUAAGGAGGAGAGGAUAAGAAUGUAGAAGGAGAGAAGGAGAAGGUUUCAAGGGAGAGGGAGAGAUGGGUAUAGAGUUGGAUGAAGAAUAUGUGUGAUGUACAAAUGUGUUGUGUUUAAAUUGAAUUGCUGAAUUGUUAUUGAAUUAAUUGAAUUAACUGAU